RNAcentral lists this transfer RNA (72 nucleotides) under Anaerolinea sp. RNAcentral's name for it is "tRNA-Cys". It matches the Rfam family "tRNA". Rfam says of the family: Transfer RNA (tRNA) molecules are approximately 80 nucleotides in length. Their secondary structure includes four short double-helical elements and three loops (D, anti-codon, and T loops). Further hydrogen bonds mediate the characteristic L-shaped molecular structure. tRNAs have two regions of fundamental functional importance: the anti-codon, which is responsible for specific mRNA codon recognition, and the 3' end, to which the tRNAs corresponding amino acid is attached (by aminoacyl-tRNA synthetases). tRNAs cope with the degeneracy of the genetic code in two manners: having more than one tRNA (with a specific anti-codon) for a particular amino acid; and 'wobble' base-pairing, i.e. permitting non-standard base-pairing at the 3rd anti-codon position. The record is from RNAcentral. Lineage: Bacteria; Bacillati; Chloroflexota; Anaerolineae; Anaerolineales; Anaerolineaceae. RNAcentral also lists the same sequence under 4 other names.
GGCGACGUGGCCAAGUGGCUAAGGCAAGGGUCUGCAAAACCCUGAUCAUGGGUUCAAAUCCCAUCGUCGCCU